Molecule: non-coding RNA, 107 nt
Organism: Gossypium hirsutum (cotton)
Lineage: Eukaryota; Viridiplantae; Streptophyta; Magnoliopsida; Malvales; Malvaceae
Source: Rfam
CUUAAGCUUAUGUAGCUGCUGUAAAUAUGGACAAAUAUCAAUAUGCAGGCUUUAAAGUGGGCGAGCCAUUAGUACAUGGACUCCCAUAAAGAACCUACAUUACAUUA